RNAcentral lists this ribosomal RNA (574 nucleotides) under Pseudozyma sp. Its description in RNAcentral is "partial large subunit ribosomal RNA". It matches the Rfam family "Eukaryotic large subunit ribosomal RNA", at positions 57 to 608 of the family's 3401-position model. The record is from RNAcentral. Lineage: Eukaryota; Fungi; Basidiomycota; Ustilaginomycetes; Ustilaginales; Ustilaginaceae.
AAAAGAAACUAACAAGGAUUCCCCUAGUAACGGCGAGUGAAGAGGGAAGAGCCCAAGAUUGAAAGCUGGCGUCUUCGGCGUCCGCAUUGUAAUCUCAAGAAGUGUUUUCCGUUUCGGACCAUGCCUAAGUCUCUUGGAAAAGAGCAUCAUAGAGGGUGAUAAUCCCGUACAUGGCAUGGAGCGCCCGAGACUUUGUGAUACGCUUUCUAAGAGUCGAGUUGUUUGGGAAUGCAGCUCAAAAUGGGUGGUAAAUGCCAUCUAAGGCUAAAUAUUGGGGAGAGACCGAUAGCGAACAAGUACAGUGAUGGAAAGAUGAAAAGAACUUUGAAAAGAGAGUUAAACAGUACGUGAAAUUGCCAAAAGGGAAGGGUAGGAGGUCAGAGAUGCGUUCUGGGAUUCAGCCUUGCUUUUUGCUUGGUGUUUUUCCCAGAGGGCAGGCCAACGUCGGUUUUGGGCGCUGGAGAAGGGUGGAAGGAAUGUGGCACCUCUCGGGGUGUGUUAUAGCCUUCUACUGGAUACAGUGACCGAGACCGAGGACAGCAGCGUACUCGCAAGAGCGGGCCUUCGGGCACCU